RNAcentral lists this ribosomal RNA (253 nucleotides) under uncultured bacterium. RNAcentral's name for it is "partial 16S ribosomal RNA". It matches the Rfam family "Bacterial small subunit ribosomal RNA", at positions 524 to 776 of the family's 1533-position model. The record is from RNAcentral.
UACGGAGGGUGCAAGCGUUAUCCGGAUUCACUGGGUUUAAAGGGUGCGUAGGCGGCUAGGUAAGUCCGUGGUGAAAUCCUGCAGCUUAACUGCAGAACUGCCAUGGAUACUAUCUAUCUUGAAUGUCGUGGAGGUUAGCGGAAUAUGUCAUGUAGCGGUGAAAUGCUUAGAUAUGACAUAGAACACCCAUUGCGAAGGCAGCUAACUACGCGAUAAUUGACGCUGAUGCACGAAAGCGUGGGGAUCAAACAGG